AACGCAUAUUGCGCUCUCCAGGUAAUCCGGGGAGCAUGCCUGUUUGAGGAGUCUUGUCAACCUUCCUGGUAUCUUCUUUAUGUAUUCCGUACGCAAAGAUGUGCCAGACCUCUUCAUGGAAAUGGACAAGAUGUCAUUGAGCUUUUUUUCGGUUAGCUUCGGCGGGCCGGAUAGCUCUAAAUACAUACUCAUACUUAAUUCCUAUCACACACGCCACUACGGCGUGGGCAACUUGCGGAUUCCUUCGGGUUUCCGCAAGCGCCUUACCCUCACCACAUCAUGCUGGUUAAGAUAUAUUUUUCCUGGUAAAAAUGUUUUGACUAAGCGUGAUGGCGGCCGCAGGGUAUGGUGUAGUCCGCUGCUCCGUAGCACACGGCAAGUGAUAGUUUUUAUUCUCCUCAAAUCAAGCAAGAGUACCCGCUGAACUUAA
Molecule: unclassified non-coding RNA, 430 nt
Filed under: uncultured fungus
Lineage: Eukaryota; Fungi
Also listed under: 1 other name
Description: partial contains 5.8S ribosomal RNA, internal transcribed spacer 2, and large subunit ribosomal RNA
Source: RNAcentral